AACGAACGCUGGCGGCAGGCCUAACACAUGCAAGUCGAGCGGGCGUAGCAAUACGUCAGCGGCGGACGGGUGAGUAACACGUGGGAAUAUGCCUUUCGGUUUGGAACAACUCGGGGAAACCCGUGCUAAUUCCGGAUACGCCCUUAGGGGGAAAGAUUUAUCGCCGAAAGAUUAGCCCGCGUCCGAUUAGCUAGUUGGUGAGGUAACGGCUCACCAAGGCGACGAUCGGUAACCGGCCUGAGAGGGCGAUCGGUCACACCGGAACUGAGACACGGUCCGGACUCCUACGGGAGGCAGCAGUGGGGAAUCUUGCGCAAUGGGCGAAAGCCUGACGCAGCAACGCCGCGUGGAGGAUGAAGGCCCUUGGGUU
RNAcentral lists this ribosomal RNA (370 nucleotides) under uncultured bacterium. RNAcentral's name for it is "bacterial SSU rRNA". It matches the Rfam family "Bacterial small subunit ribosomal RNA", at positions 29 to 424 of the family's 1533-position model. The record is from RNAcentral.